GCCCUUGUAGCAAUACGAGGGUAUCCUAGUGGCGAACGGGUGAGUAACGCGUUGGUGACCUGCCCCAAAGUGUGGGAUAACAGAUCGAAAGAUCUGCUAAUACCGCAUGUGGUCAUCGGGUUUAGAAGCCGAUGUCUAAAGCAGCAAUGCGCUUUGGGAGGGACCUGCGUCCCAUCAGCUAGUUGGUGAGGUAACGGCUCACCAAGGCGACGACGGGUAGGGAACCUGAGAGGGUGGCCCCCCACAAUGGAACUGAAACACGGUCCAUACACCUACGGGUGGCAGCAGUAGGGAAUAUUGCACAAUGGGCGAAAGCCUGAUGCAGCAACGCCGCGUGCGCGAAGAAGGUCUUCGGAUCGUAAAGCGCUUUUCUGGGAGAUGAGAAAGGACAGUAUCCCAGGAAUAAGUCUCGGCUAACUACGUGCCAGCAGCCGCGGUAAAACGUAGGAGGCAAGCGUUAUCCGGAUUCACUGGGCGUAAAGCGCGUGCAGGCGGUUCGGUAAGUUGGGCGUGAAAUCUCCCGGCUCAACUGGGAGAGGUCGUCCAAUACUACCGGACUAGAGAACGAUAGAGGAAGAUGGAAUUCCCGGUGUAGUGGUGAAAUGCGUAGAUAUCGGGAGGAACACCAGUGGCGAAAGCGAUCUUCUGGAUCGUUUCUGACGCUCAGACGCGAAAGCUAGGGUAGCAAACGGGAUUAGAGACCCCGGUAGUCCUAGCCGUAAACGAUGCGAACUUGGCGUUGGUGGCUUAAACUCCAUCAGUGCCGCAGCUAACGCGAUAAGUUCACCGCCUGGGGACUACGGCCGCAAGGUUAAAACUCAAAGGAAUUGACGGGGGCCGGCACAAGCAGCGGA
RNAcentral lists this ribosomal RNA (854 nucleotides) under uncultured Chloroflexota bacterium. RNAcentral's name for it is "bacterial SSU rRNA". It matches the Rfam family "Bacterial small subunit ribosomal RNA", at positions 70 to 936 of the family's 1533-position model. The record is from RNAcentral. Lineage: Bacteria; Bacillati; Chloroflexota.